This 74-nucleotide transfer RNA is filed under the name Pteropus alecto (black flying fox). It matches the Rfam family "tRNA". Rfam says of the family: Transfer RNA (tRNA) molecules are approximately 80 nucleotides in length. Their secondary structure includes four short double-helical elements and three loops (D, anti-codon, and T loops). Further hydrogen bonds mediate the characteristic L-shaped molecular structure. tRNAs have two regions of fundamental functional importance: the anti-codon, which is responsible for specific mRNA codon recognition, and the 3' end, to which the tRNAs corresponding amino acid is attached (by aminoacyl-tRNA synthetases). tRNAs cope with the degeneracy of the genetic code in two manners: having more than one tRNA (with a specific anti-codon) for a particular amino acid; and 'wobble' base-pairing, i.e. permitting non-standard base-pairing at the 3rd anti-codon position. The record is from Rfam by way of RNAcentral. Lineage: Eukaryota; Metazoa; Chordata; Mammalia; Chiroptera; Pteropodidae.
GGUUUCAUAGUGUACCAGAGUUAUCACAUCUGCUUUAUACGCAGAAGUCCUGGGUUUGUGUCCCAGUAGAGGCA